UACAGAGGUGGCAAGCGUUGUUCGGAAUUACUGGGCGUAAAGCGUGCGUAGGCGGUUUGUUAAGUCUGCUGUGAAAUCCCCGGGCUCAACCUGGGAAUGGCAGUGGAUACUGGCAAGCUAGAGUGUGUCAGAGGAUGGUGGAAUUCCCGGUGUAGCGGUGAAAUGCGUAGAGAUCGGGAGGAACAUCAGUGGCGAAGGCGGCCAUCUGGGACAACACUGACGCUGAGGCACGAAAGCGUGGGGAGCAAACAGG
Molecule: ribosomal RNA, 253 nt
Filed under: uncultured bacterium
Lineage: Bacteria
Description: partial 16S ribosomal RNA
Rfam family: Bacterial small subunit ribosomal RNA
Source: RNAcentral